Molecule: unclassified non-coding RNA, 379 nt
Filed under: Hevea brasiliensis (rubber tree)
Lineage: Eukaryota; Viridiplantae; Streptophyta; Magnoliopsida; Malpighiales; Euphorbiaceae
Source: RNAcentral
CUCUCUCUCUCUCUCUCCCCUUCGCUUUGCGUGUAAAACCCAGAUUAGCAAUGGCGGACAAGCCAAGCAGAGCUCUGGUGUUGUACGGCGAUGGAUUGGCUCAAUUCGUUGAUCCAUCCCACACCCAUAUCCACUCCCUCGCAUCUAAAGCUGCCUGCGGCUUCUUAAGCCUUCCCAAUGCCCCUCCCUCAGAAAGCGAGGAUGAGAGGAUAGUAAGGGAGUUUGCAAAUCUGCUGGAUGCAUGUGAAGCUUAUCAAGACAUGAGUUUUGAGAAGAGUACAUUGAUGCCAACCAUUUCUCAGAGGUUCAUGGGAAUGAAGGCUGCUGUUAUCACAAAUAGUCCUUACCUGAAAUCUUUUGGCAGCAAGAUCGGCUUCAA